RNAcentral lists this unclassified non-coding RNA (214 nucleotides) under Hevea brasiliensis (rubber tree). Lineage: Eukaryota; Viridiplantae; Streptophyta; Magnoliopsida; Malpighiales; Euphorbiaceae. The record is from RNAcentral.
AAAAAAACUGAAGAAAACACUGCAUGCAUUUUCUUUAUCAACUGAAUUAUUAAGGUAACAGCCGUUAUACUUAAUGAUAAAUAACGUCAGUUACCAUUAAGUAACCGAUAGUAACAGGGCGGUUACCGUUAAGUAACGGUGGCAACGGCUGUUACCAAUGCAACUCAAAAUCUGCCUUUAAAUAAUGAGAUAAAGGGUAACGGCCCCUUGAAAA